AUUUUCUCUACAAACAGUAACUUAUAAUAAUUUCUCCUUGUACUGUAGCUAAGUAAAAAGAACCCCUUGCUACCUUAGAAAUCAACUUGCCCAGGAUGACUGUACAAAAGAGACCAUGGGACAGCAAGGAGGAGAGAUAUUCCGUCAAGAGGAAAAGAAAAGCAAUAAAAGUAGGGGGAAACAUGACCAGCAAAAAAGAAACAAAAUUCAUCUCCCUCAUCUAAACUCAAGAGGGCCGAUUCUUCUUGGUAAAAUUUUAAGAGCACUCAAGAGUUAACAUUAUUAAAUUCAAAGGAAGCAGUACUAUACUUGCAAGCUAUAAAUGAUUGAGGUUGUGGCCUCUCCCAGAAGACUUUAUAUUUUAAAAAGAACAGAUCACAGAAGGAUAAUUUUAUGGGGCAGGUGGCCUCCUAUACAUGACUUCCCAUGCUUUCAUCCUAACAUCAAAAUGUCUCAGAGGGGAAAUAAUUGCACCUGUGAGAAAUGCAAUGGACUUGUCAAAAUACAUGUAUAAUAUAUAGAUCCACAUACAUUAUAUACCUAUAUAUGUUUCUAUGUGCUUUGUGACAAGAAA
Long non-coding RNA from Homo sapiens (human), 574 nucleotides. RefSeq lists it as uncharacterized. The record is from RefSeq and is a predicted model, not a curated record. The transcript has 3 exons. NCBI's taxonomy places the organism in Eukaryota, Metazoa, Chordata, Mammalia, Primates, Hominidae.